UUCAAGCCAGCCAUCAAACAAUUCAGCAAGAAGCCAACCAAAGCCUCUCCAUCUCCGGCCAUCCAGCCCCAACCAAGCUCGAAGAUGUCAUGCUGCUCAGGAAAGUGCGGCUGCAGCGACGCCUGCAAGUGCGACAGCGGCUGCAACGGCUGCGGCAUGUACCCUGACGUCGAGGCCGCCGGCAAUGGCAAUGUUUUCCUCAUGCCGGAGCUCCGGGUGGGCGGCGAGGGAUGUAUGCGGGAGUUCCGGUGGGAUGGACAUGACCGCGGAGGAGGAAAACGGUGGCUGCACCUGCUCCUGCUGCACCUGCUAGGUCAUCAAUCAACAAGUUGAUCUGGCGGCUUGCAUCACUACUUAAUUACCACCAUGUAACGCUACCUGAUGGAGGGCUAAGCUACACAUGCUAAGCCUGUACGCCCCAAGCUGCAUGCAUGUGUGCAAUAUCUGCAUGCAUGCAUGUCACCCCCUAAAUAAAAACCCCCAGCACUACAGGAAUGGUGACGUACGCCGACGGUGUGGCGUACGCCGACGGGGCCGUCGGCGUAUGGCCCGGCACGGCCAGCUAGCCCGUCUGACCCUCGGCGUAUCGUUGCCGUCGGCGUAGCGAAGUCUACGCCGAGGGCCGCCCUCGGCAUAUAUUUGGCCCUAGGCGUAGACAGGGCUACGCCGACGGCCACCCUCGGCGUAGGCUAUUUUUCAAAUUUGUUUAAUUUUGUAAAAAUCAUAACUAAUUCAUAUGAUGUAAGAAAAAUGCGUAUAAGGUAUCAAAAUGUUCAGAAAAACAUCCUCUAUCCGUUUAUGUCAAAAUCAUGCAUAUUUGAAUCAUGUACAGUACCAUGUUAACAUAGUAACAAUUCAAACACUUUCUUAUAUGUCCUCGGUCAGAAAAUCCCGCGGAACCGUGAUACAUCUCAAACAUAUCUAUAAUUUCUUAUGUUCCAUGCUAGUUUUAUGACAAUACUCACAUGUUUUAUAUACACUUUAUAUCAUUUUUAUGCAUUUUCCGGCACUAACCUAUUAACAAGAUGCCGAAGUGCCAGUUCCUGUUUUCUGCUGUUUUUGGUUUCAAAAAUCCUACACAGGAAAUAUUCUCGGAAUUGGACGAAACAAAAGCCCACGGUCUUAUUUUCCACGGAGCCUUCCAGAAGUCCGAAGAGGAGACGAAGAGGGGCGACGAGGCGGCCACACCCUAGGGGGGCGCGGCCCCACCCCUGGGCGCGCCGCCCUAUGGGGUGGGCCCCUCGGGCGCCUCCCGACUCUGCCCCUUCGCCUACUUAAACUCUCCGUCGCGAAAACCCUAGUACCGAGAGCCACGAUACGAGAAAAGUUACGGAGACGCCGCCGCCGUCAAUCCCAUCUCGGGGGAUUCUGAAGAUCGCCUCCGGCACCCUGCCGGAGAGGGAAAUCAUCACCGGAGGGCUCUACAUCACCAUGCCCGCCUCCGGAUUGAUGCGUGAGUAGUUCAUCCUUGGACUAUGGGUCCAUAGCAGUAGCUAGAUGGUUGUCUUCUCCUCUUGUGCUAUCAUGUUUAGAUCUUGUGAGCUGCUUAUCAUGAUCAAGAUCAUCUAUUUGUAAUGCUACAUGUUGUGUUUGGUGGGAUCCGAUGAAUAUGUAAUACUAUGUCAAGUUGAUUAUUGAUCUAUCAUAUAUGUGUUGUUUA
Lolium perenne is the source of this 1660-nucleotide long non-coding RNA. RefSeq lists it as uncharacterized. Lineage: Eukaryota; Viridiplantae; Streptophyta; Magnoliopsida; Poales; Poaceae. The record is from RefSeq and is a predicted model, not a curated record.